Molecule: long non-coding RNA, 275 nt
Filed under: Helianthus annuus (common sunflower)
Lineage: Eukaryota; Viridiplantae; Streptophyta; Magnoliopsida; Asterales; Asteraceae
Description: hypothetical non coding rna
Source: RNAcentral
UUUGGUAGAAUAGUAUUCUACCAAAACGCAACAAAAAAAAAAAAAAAAAAUGACUGGUCGCGUGACUAGAAAUUUAUACGGUGGUCACCACGAGAUAUACCGUCUAUGUGAAAGUCUCUGCAGAACCUUGCGACUUGUUGUGGUCUCUCUCUCAAUAUUGUAAAUUGUUGAAUCGAGGAGGAGAGUUUGUUGGCUGACAUGAUCUCGCAGUUCUUUGUUUUGUCGCAGAGAGGCGAUAACAUCGUGUUUCGUGAUUUAAUUUGAAGAUUCUUGGU